CUUUGAUACUCAGGAUCAAUGUAGCUGAGUGUUCCAACAGGCGCGGUGUCCUUAUACAUGGCAGAUAAAUCAUCUGAAUUUAGGAUUGUAGAAAGACCGACAUCACCAAUCUUGCUGACAAGGUUAUGACCAAGCAAGAUGUUUGCCGGUUUCAAGUCACGAUGGAUGAUAGGUUGCGGCNNNNNNNNNNNNNNNNNNNNNNNNNNNNNNNNNNNNNNNNNNACCAUGGGAUUGGGUCAUUACUGUUUUUCUGGAGUAGUCUGUCCUCCAAGUUUCCAUUUUCCAUGUAUUCGUACACAAGGCAUCCGUGAUCAGGACAUGCACCAAGAAGAAGAAGCAAGUUUGGAUGAUGAAUUCUGCUCAAUAUCUCUAACUGGAAGCAAAGAGAAGAUAUUAGUCUUGUUAUGUAGUUCAAAUCCAGUCUCAUACUCAUUAAUAGAUGAAAAUUAAAGCAUUAUAUAAUUUUUUUGUCUUACGAUAUGGAACAAUGCUUACCUCUUGCUGGAAUUGCUUGCUUUGGCAGUUUCCAUUAGAGUGAAGAACUUUAACAGCAACAGUUGUGUAAUGCAAAGUGCACUUAUACACUACUCCAUAUGCACCCAUUCCGAUUCUCAGAUCUUCAGAGAAAGACGAAGUAGCUGAAACUAUUUCAUCCCACGUAAAGAUUCGGUACGGAGGUGUGGAACCACUCAGAGCACCCUCAAGCUUUUCUUUCUCUUUGGCAGCAUGAAUAGCUUUUAACUCGGCUUCUUUUCUUUCUGCAGCUUCUCUUCCAGCACGAUGUUUCAGAUAUUCGGCUUCUCUUGCUGCAGCUUCAUAUUUCUCUCUUUCUUGAUUUGCUAAUUCCUCGGCCAUCUCCUCGUUAGCAACAAUCUCCUUCAUUUUCAUGGAUUCUUCUAAUCUUCUCUUGUUUAGUUCAUUCAGCUGCUCAAAGCAAUAAGAGAUGUUGUUUCUCUUGGGUACAGUUCAAGGGUAAUCUUAUAAACUGAUAUCGUAGUAUUUAAACACAAGUUGCACUAUGAAACCCUAAGCUUGAUUAAUAGAAAGGUUCAGGCAUACAGAAAGAGAAUUCGUCCUCUAAUCACUAACAUAGCGUAUUAUAUCUCGAUGACAGCUGAUAAGAAAGAGACAUUACCUUUUGUGAUGCAUCAAUGUUCUCACUUUGAGCUACUGCAUGCAUUCCUUGUGCAUGUCUUAGUUCAAGUCUCAACUUUUCCAGCUCAAGGUUAUAAUUUUCCUGAUUAUAAAAGACGACAAAGGAAGUUAAAUUGCAAAAUGAAGUUGAAUCUAACAAGAAUUUGGAAAUAUGUACUAUUUCAUCAAGUCAAAAGAAAAGAGAAUUCAUCUUACCUGUCUAUUUGGUUUUGGAGGUUUAGUACCUUGUGGCACAUACUUGGCAUGAUUUUGACCGUAAAUGGAAGAUUCAGUAUCUGAAAUGCUUCCGCCACUAGAGGCCUGGGUUAGAGCAUGAUCAAUAUCUGAACUUAUAGCAUCAUUCUUUCUCCCAAGAUCUAGAGACUGGCCUCUAAAAUGAUUAGUUUCACUUAAAUUAGGACUCGUGCUUAGAAGGGUCUGAUCUAUACUCGAGAGAGCUUUAUGUCGUCGUGUUGUCAGGGGAUAGGAAUGUAAAGCAGCAGAUGAUGCAACUGAGCCAAAAUCUGAUAUACAUUCAAACAUUGAUUAUUCUACACAACAAAGUCAGAUUUGACGUUUUUUAUGCAAUACUCGCUAAAUUUCCUGCAAUCGAUAAGCAGAUCUUUAAAACCAAGCAUACUAGAAUUGAAAUCUGUGACAUGCUAGUGCCAAGAAACUUCAUUCUUCCUACAAGGUAUUUUAUUCCGUACCAUACUGUAAAUCUUAGCGUUUAAACCAUAGUACUGCAAAAUUUGCUAUCUGUUACCUGUCUGAGAGGUGGAAGUGUAGUUCGAUGAGCUGCUCGAUGAAAAACUGGUUUCACUGGUAUCAUCUACAAUGUUUCCUUCAGUCUGCAUGUCUGACUGCCGUAUGGACAAUUUUCCUUUCGAAACAGCAUAAACUGUACAAAAUCUUGGAGUGCGUACUGAUAUUUUUGCAGACAUACCCUUCUGUUUGCUGAAAUGCAUUGUUUAAAAGUAGUAGGAUCAGAUAAAGACCAUAAAAAAAUUCAAUGAUAGAGAAGUGAAUGUAAAUAAAAGAUAACCUAAUAAAAUUCAAAUGUGCACAUAUCGGUAGCCUAAUACUUAGCAUGGCUAUCCAGACAUAGAUCACACCCAAGACUAGACAUCUNNNNNNNNNNNNNNNNNNNNNNNNNNNNNNNNNNNNNNNNNNNNNNNNNNNNNNNNNNNNNNNNNNNNNNNNNNNNNNNNNNNAUUUGAAUAAAUACCUUUUAAAUAUACCAGAAGAUGAAGCUCCAAGGACAAGUUUGGUAAUAACAUUCUUAGAUACUUCCUCUGCUACUGCAGUUGCUACAUCAUCUGAUUCAAUCACUACAACAUCUACAUGCACCUGCACAAACAAUAGUAUAACAAUGUCGAUCCAAUAUACUGUAAUACACUAAUUAUUGUAAUUAAUCUACAUGAAAAACAAUACCUACCUUUCUCUGCUCACACAAACUCUUAAAAGGUAGAAGCAUUUGAUUUGUUUGCCACUCAACUUCCCUUCUGAAAGCAUUUGCUACAUCAUUUCGUACUUGUGAAAUAGGAAGCACAUCUCCCACUGGAAGCACAGAAACGUUGAAUUAUCAUAACAAUAUGUUAAUCAUAUUUUCUUUGUUUGAGAGUGUUAUAAAAAGAUACGAAAAACACAAAUGGAGAAUACACAAUAUUUGACUGCAGUCCAGUUUACAAGAUUACCCCUGAACCGAACCCAACAUAAACCCUUAAAAUUAAGAACACUAUAAAAUAGCAACAUAAUAACACAUAUUAUAUAUAUCUUACUUGGUGUAGGAACUCCAUUUAUAACAGCUCUAACAUGAAUUAGCUUGAAGAUACUUAUCCCUUCAUGAACAAAUUUAUCAAGUGCCCAUUGGACAACAUAUUUGCUUUUCUUAUUACCCUUGAUUGCUAGACCAACAACUGAAGUUUUAUUAUUUUCAUCUGCCUCUUGAACCCUAUCCAUCUCUCUUUGUUAACUUGUUGGUUCCUAUGGAAGGACAAUUAUCCAGAGUUCAGCCGACAGGUAAGUAAAGUCUGACCAAUGAUUGUCAAGUUCUCAAGUUCGGAUUAAAAUCAGCUAUAAAGUUAAGAUUUGAGAGUAUAUGAAGAAAUUAGUAUUAGGGAUUAUGGGAAGAUUUAAAAAAAAAAUCAAGAAAAAAAUCACAAUUAGUGGAACAAAUAAAGAGUCAAAUCAAGGACAAGUUCCAAGAUUCAUAUUCAAAUAGUUGAAUUUCAUAAGGUCAAACUAUAUAUAUAUUCAACUAGACAAGUAGAUGAACAUAGGAACAAAGAGAGUAGGAAAGAUUCAGAAACAAUAACAAACUUAACAGAUUAUUAACUAACCAAUUAAACUAACUUUGAAUUCUUCAUUGCUUCAAAUCUUAGCAUGCUAAUAUAGUCAUGUUUCAGUUUAAAUACACACAAGAAAAGAAAGGAAAAAAAAAAAUACAAUAACUACAUUAACAGAUUUAUAAACUAACCAAUGAAACCAACUUACUUUGAACUUGUUGAGUGGUUGGCUCAAAAUCUUAGUUAGAAAAGAAGAUAAUCUUAUAUUUCCCACACUUUUUUGUCCUGAAGCUUCAAAUAAAAACACUAAUAACUGGAUACUCCAAAAUCUCUCAUAGAAGUUAUGUUUGUCUUACUACAAUUUUAAUUUAAAAUGAUUAAACAUUUAUAUCUGAUAACCUUUUUUUUCUUGUACGUAAUUAAAAUAAUAAAUAUCAUUUGAAAUUUAUAGAUAUCACGGAUUUAAAUCCACGACAUUAUCUCGGUUAUUUGACAUAAUGAAUUUAAUAUUUAUCAGUUGAAUUAGGACUUUUAUAUAAUUAUUAGUAUUAUUUUUGAAACACAUUUUUUAGGAGGAUUUAAAAUGACGGUUUAGUCCUUUUGAUGGAUGUGAAAUGUUGCUUUCUGGUAAUUAAUGAGGACAACUAAUAAACAAUCCAUUCAAGCAAUUAAAUAAUUAAAAAAUACUAUAAAUAAAAGAAGAAAGUGUCAAUAUCAGUGUAAAUUGGAUUUUUUUGGGAUACAAAUGUAAAUUCAACUUUAGUUUAAGGAUUAGUAACUAACUAACUAACAAUAACAAUGUCAAAUUCAAAUCUAUGAUUCAAGUAGUUAACUGACAUGUCAUGUCUACACACUAUUCAGUCAUAGAGCCAGCCCAUAGAUAGUGACAACUUUAUCAUAUAUGUAGUGAAUGUUGGAUUGUUAUUUAUCACUGUGUUUUUUGGAUGUAUUAUAUUAUUUUUCUAGAACUCAUGGACUUGAAUAUAUUGUUAAACUUAAACACAUGGGAUAUUCAUAUAUUUAUUUGAAUUUAUAUUAUUUGUUAAACUCAUGGGAACAAAGACAUAUAUUUAAUAAAAAUGACAGGAAUAUUUCUAGACAAAAUUUUUAAAUUAAGAAUGAGAACAAUAUUUCAAUAUAAAUAAUACAAGCAAAGAAAUAUGUACAAGUCUAGAGAAAUUCAAAAUCAGGUGAGCAAACUUGUUAAAAGUUAAACGGAGAACUGGCAUUUCCUUUAGUGAGCGACUCGUUGAAUGCACUUCGCGCCUUUGAUGAUACGAAGAUUGUUCCAUAGGAUUCGCAGAAUAGAUGGUCGAAUUACAUGCAUCUUGGUCUUAAUUACUUUAAAGUGGUCUCAUAUCUUAUGUGAAGGGAACCCGUGUGCGGAUAAACUUGUAAAUUUAGGUCAUGCUUACACACAAAUGAGGUGGUGGAAUUCUCUACUCACAACUCUCGGGAUGAUUUUUUUACGUGAUAAAUUGUGACUCCCUCAAUACUGUACCACUUGUUGUAUUUCCUCUUGUUUCUUUGGGAUAAGGCCUAGUCUUCCGUUGAAAUAAAUUGUAAAAAAAUAGUAGAUGUUUUUAAAAAUAUCCGCUAUCUAAAUAGCUGACAACCAAAAGAAAGAAAUCCACUCGAUUUCUACCGUAUCAAGCGACAUGGGCCACUUGGAUGAUAAUUGAUUUUUUUGAUACUAUAUAUUUUUUUGAUACAUGGAUGAUAAUUGAUAAACGUAGCAACUAGUUGGAGCUCUUUAUGGCAUUAUGGUACUUCCUCUAAUUCUACAUACAGGUAUAUAUCCUUGAAAUAUUCCCUCUUUAUCACAUUAUUUUUUUGAAUUAAUCAAAAUUUCUUUUGAAUAAUAUGUAAGUUUUGAAUAUAUCUUUUUAUUUUUUUUGAAUUAAUCAAAAUUUUCUUUUGAAUAAUAUAUAAGUUUUGAAUAUACAGUAUAAUUUUAAUUUUUAUUGACCAACUCAUCUAUUUAAGAUAGCAACAAUAAAUUUGUUCAAGUAGUAAAAAUUUUGGAUCGUUUAAGAUAGUCAAGAGUUCGAUUCGUAAAAUAUGUGUAUGAAAAAAAAAGUCCGACGAAGAUAUAAACUUCAUAUAUCAUAGAUCCUAAAAAAAUGUAGGCAUCAGAUAAUGGAAAAAGUAAUAGUAUCAUUAGUAUGCUGACAAGACAAGACAAAUAAAAAGUAAUUGAUACUGUAUAACAUUAAAAUUUGAAAGAUAACUAGAAAAAACACUCCACAAAAAUUGACAACUAAAAGAAAGAUAAAGUUAGUGACUAAAAUGCUGAUGAAUAAAAAGUAAUUGAUAUAACAUUAAUUAAAGUUUAAAAAUGAAAGAUAACUACAAAAGAAGCUAAAAAAUUGACAACUAUAGAAAAGAUAAAUUUAGUGACUAAAAAAAAUAUAAAGUUAUUGAUUUGUUUGAUAAUAAAAAUAUCAGCACAAAAUAAACAAAUCACACAUACAGUCACACAGACAUCCUGAUUUGUUAGACAGCUGAACAAAUUUGAACUAAAAGUUAGAUAAUUUAAAACAAACAAAGAUAUUAAAGUAACAACUACUAAUAUACUAACCUUUGUCUAUCAAAAAAAUGUUAGUUUGAAUUUGAUUAAUCAAUUAAUAUACAAACUGUAAUACAUAUUACAUACAAAAUAAGACAAUAGAAUCAAAUUUAUCUACAAUGAAAAUUCAAUUUCCCUAACCAAAAUCUGCAACCUACACACUGAAUUUUAAGCCAAGCUACAUUAGACAAACUAACUAUUUAACUCAACAAUAUCAACAUUAAAAAAAAGAUAAUGUAGUAUCAUAUUUCUUUGGAUUUCCAUUCCAAAAUUGCUGAUAGAAGUGUGUAAUUAGGAAUUAGAAUCUUAUGAGGUAAAGCCAUGUUUGUCAUUGGUGAUUUUUCAUUCUCUUUAAGCCAUUUUUCAAUUGCUUUUCGAUCGUAUGUAUAUCCAUCUGCGGCAACACAAGGAUCGUCCAUCACAUCCUAAACCAAAUCAAAGAAAGCAUAAUGAGAAUCUUCAAAAACAUUAACAACAUAAGAAGAUUGUCGAAAGCAAUGUAUAUCUUAUAUCUCAAGCCAUUAUAGAAAAGGAGUAUUUGACUACCUGGAGUAUAGGGCAGAUAAAAUGGUUUGGAGCUUUGGGUUUAAUAGUAACCAUUGAAGCGGAAUAAUGAGCCCUAUCGGCAACUUCUUUUAACUUCUCCAAUGUAGGAAGCACGUGAUCUAACAAAUCAGGUCGGUCUCUACGCCGAAGCUCCGCACAACUCAAAGCUAAUCUAGCUAAGUCUAAUGUCUCUUGAAAUGGCCAUGAUCCUGCCUUUGUAUCUAAUAUAUCUGUUAAGUUACCGUCCUCAAUUGCUGUUUCAACCACAUGAGUAAUUGCUGUUGCUGGUUUUGCUGUCAACAACUGUAACAUCACUAAUCCGAAAGCAUAAACAUCAGAUUUCGUAGAUAUUAAACCACUCCUUUGAUACUCAGGAUCGAUGUAGCUGAGUGUUCCAACAGGCGCCGUGUCUUUAUACAUGGUAGAUAAAUCGUCUGAAGUGAGAAUCGUAGAAAGACCAAUAUCACCAAUCUUGCUGACAAGGUUACCACCGAGCAAGAUGUUUGCAGGUUUCAAGUCACGAUGGAUGAUAGGUUGUGGCUUUGAGCUGUGAAGAAAGGAAAGAGCUGAUGCAAUUUCCCAAGCUAUUCGAAACCUAUCAAACCAUGGGAUUGGGAUGGUACUGUUUUUCUGAAAUAGUCUAUCCUCCAAGCUACCAUUUUCCAUGUAUUCGU
Molecule: long non-coding RNA, 7211 nt
Filed under: Trifolium pratense (red clover)
Lineage: Eukaryota; Viridiplantae; Streptophyta; Magnoliopsida; Fabales; Fabaceae
Description: long non-coding RNA (TPRA_LNC001751)
Source: RNAcentral